RNAcentral lists this long non-coding RNA (1135 nucleotides) under Meleagris gallopavo (turkey). Its description in RNAcentral is "lncRNA (ENSMGAG00000022995.1)". The record is from RNAcentral. Lineage: Eukaryota; Metazoa; Chordata; Aves; Galliformes; Phasianidae.
UUUCGGCGGCUUUAAAUCACCCGGUGAUUUGUAGGCACAAAGAGGUCAGCUUCUAUAGCCUGGGAUCUCUUUCCUUUAGGCAAACGCGCCCAUUACAGACAGCAGGUUCUUAAAGCAAGGGACAAGUGUAAACAAUUCAUUUAUAAGCCAAGGAGCUGUAUGCGCUGGUAACCAACCGGCUCCACUUCCAGCUUCACCGCUCGCCAAUUUUCUCGCGUGCAUCAUUAACCCAUUCGGGCACUUGCCACGUCGCUACUCCCCUAUUUCCACUGUCGCGUUUUCUCCGUCAGGUACAAAGUUUUUGCACGUUUAACAAUUCUUUUUUUAUGUCGUUUGUUUGUUUUGUUUUGUUUUGGACGAGGGGAGAGGGAAAGCGGAGCGGAGACAGCACGCAGCAGGGGCCUCCGGAAACCGGGGACAUUCUUCGGCAGGUGUCGCGUGAGAUGCAAAGCGACCCGUUUGAAUUAGGCACAACUAAUUAACUCACUAGCGCAUCCCGCAACGAGGCGAGGAGAAGCGCGUAACAAACUGUAAUUGAAAGUGUGGUUUAAGUCCCUAAUUCGGAUCUAGAGCCCGCGCGUCUAGCUGUCAGAGUCCCCGGCCGGCCCGAACGAGCGCAGCCGGCGCUAACGAGGCAACGACUCCCAGCUGCCGCGGCACCGCGGGCACAGCUGCGGCUCGUCCGCAGCGAGGGGCGGGUCCGCCCCAAAGCCUCUUAAGCUCCGCCGGAGGCCGCUGGGAGCCACGAGGGAGUUCCCCGGGGUUCGCUGCCUGCGGCUGCGGUGAGAUGUCUCCCGGUGAAUAUCGGUCGGAACCGAUAAGCCGUUCUGAUAACAACGGGACCGAGGAGGCGGCCUGCGCUCGGAAGCCGUUCGGGGCCGUCCGCCUGGCUCUCGCCGCUCUCCUUUCGGGGCCGGCGCAGGGCUUCCUCCGGGCUCCUUCGGCUUCUGGGAGCCGGGAUAACGUCGCCGCCCGGCCGCCAUCGCGUUUUCAGAAGGGGCUGCCGCUCGGUUCCCCGAGUCCUAGCGCGCUCUCAGCCUCUCCGGGGCUCCCGGUCUCAUCGGCUGAGCGAAGGCUGCGGCAGAGUCUAUCGUUAUCCCGACCCGGUGAGACGGUGGAGGCAGUGAGUGUGUAG